GCUUACGGCAUACUUGGAUGGGAGACCGCCUGGGAAUACCAGGUGCUGUAAGCAU
Molecule: ribosomal RNA, 55 nt
Filed under: Misgurnus anguillicaudatus (oriental weatherfish)
Lineage: Eukaryota; Metazoa; Chordata; Actinopteri; Cypriniformes; Cobitidae
Source: RNAcentral